This 64-nucleotide ribosomal RNA is filed under the name Pteropus alecto (black flying fox). Lineage: Eukaryota; Metazoa; Chordata; Mammalia; Chiroptera; Pteropodidae. The record is from RNAcentral.
GUCUACGGCCAUGCCACCCUGAACGCGCGCGAUCUCGUGUGAUCUCGGAAGCUAAGCAGGGUCG